This 334-nucleotide ribosomal RNA is filed under the name uncultured bacterium. RNAcentral describes it as "partial 16S ribosomal RNA". It matches the Rfam family "Bacterial small subunit ribosomal RNA", at positions 338 to 686 of the family's 1533-position model. The record is from RNAcentral.
CCUACGGGAGGCAGCAGUGGGGAAUAUUGGGCAAUGGGCGCAAGCCUGACCCAGCAACGCCGCGUGAAGGAAGAAGGCUUUCGGGUUGUAAACUUCUUUUAUCAGGGACGAAGCAAGUGACGGUACCUGAUGAAUAAGCCACGUCUAACUACGUGCCAGCAGCCGCUGUAAUCAGUAGGUGGCAAGCGUUAUCCGGAUUUACUGGGGGUAAAGGGCGUGGAGGCGGGAGUGCAAGUCCGAGGUGAAAGCUAUGGGGUCAACCCAUAGCCGGUAUUGGAAACUGUACUGCUUGAGUGCUGGAGAGGCAAGCGGAAUUCCGUGUGUAGCGGUGAAA